This 429-nucleotide ribosomal RNA is filed under the name Verrucomicrobiota bacterium. Its description in RNAcentral is "Verrucomicrobia bacterium partial 16S ribosomal RNA". It matches the Rfam family "Bacterial small subunit ribosomal RNA", at positions 355 to 776 of the family's 1533-position model. The record is from RNAcentral. Lineage: Bacteria; Pseudomonadati; Verrucomicrobiota.
UAGGGAAUCUUCCGCAAUGGACGAAAGUCUGACGGAGCAACGCCGCGUGAGUGAAGAAGGAUUUCGGUUCGUAAAACUCUGUUGUUAGGGAAGAAAAAAUGUAUAGUAACUAUAUACAAAAGAGACGGUACCUAACCAGAAAGCCACGGCUAACUACGUGCCAGCAGCCGCGGUAAUACGUAGGUGGCAAGCGUUGUCCGGAAUUAUUGGGCGUAAAGCGCGCGCAGGUGGUUUAGAAAGUCUGAUGUGAAAGCCCACGGCUCAACCGUGGAGGGUCAUUGGAAACUAAUAAACUUGAGUGCAGGAGAGAAAAGUGGAAUUCCUCGUGUAGCGGUGAAAUGCGUAGAGAUUAGGAGGAACACCGGUGGCGAAAGCGGCUUUUUGGCCUGCAACUGACACUGAGGCGCGAAAGCGUGGGGAGCAAACAGG